GACGAACGUUGGCGGCGUGCUUAAUACAUGCAAGUCAACUGAAGCAGUGGUAGCAAUAUCGCUGUGGAGGUGGCGCACGGGUGAGUAACACGUAGGUAAUCUGCCUUCAGGUCUGGCAUAGCUCCGGGAAACCGGGGCUAAUAGCAGAUGAUGCAGCGGCUCGACAUCGAGACAGUUGUUAAAGCUAUGGCGCCUGAAGAUGAGCCUGCGUCUGAUUAGCUAGUUGGCGGGGUAACGGCCCACCAAGGCAACGAUCAGUAGCUGGUCUGAGAGGAUGAUCAGCCACACUGGAACUGAGACACGGUCCAGACUACUACGGGAGGCAGCAGUAAGGAAUAUUGCUCAAUGGGAGAAAUCCUGAAGCAGCAACGCCGCGUGAGGGACGAAGGGCUUUUGCUUGUAAACCUCUGUAGUGAGAGAAAAAAAUCCCAAUCUUUGGGACAUGAUGGUAUCUCAAAAGUAAGCCCCGGCUAACUACGUG
This 481-nucleotide ribosomal RNA is filed under the name uncultured bacterium. Its description in RNAcentral is "partial 16S ribosomal RNA". It matches the Rfam family "Bacterial small subunit ribosomal RNA", at positions 28 to 507 of the family's 1533-position model. The record is from RNAcentral.